This 497-nucleotide ribosomal RNA is filed under the name uncultured bacterium. RNAcentral describes it as "bacterial SSU rRNA". It matches the Rfam family "Bacterial small subunit ribosomal RNA", at positions 30 to 525 of the family's 1533-position model. The record is from RNAcentral.
AUUGAACGCUGGCGGCAUGCCUUACACAUGCAAGUCGAACGGCAGCACGGGGGCAACCCUGGUGGCGAGUGGCGAACGGGUGAGUAACAUAUCGGAACAUACCCUAGAGUGGGGGAUAACGUAGCGAAAGUUACGCUAAUACCGCAUACGAUCUAAGGAUGAAAGUGGGGGAUCUUCGGACCUCAUGCUCAUGGAGUGGCCGAUAUCUGAUUAGCUAGUUGGUGAGGUAAAGGCUCACCAAGGCGACGAUCAGUAGCUGGUUUGAGAGGACGACCAGCCACACUGGGACUGAGACACGGCCCAGACUCCUACGGGAGGCAGCAGUGGGGAAUAUUGGUCAAUGGAUGCAAGUCUGAACCAGCCAUGCCGCGUGCAGGAAGAAGGCCUUCUGGGUUGUAAACUGCUUUUGCCAGGGGGAUAAAAUUUCCAUGCGUGGAAAACUGAAGGUACCUGGUGAAUAAGCCACGGCUAACUACGUGCCAGCAGCCGCGGUAAUC